Molecule: ribosomal RNA, 503 nt
Filed under: uncultured bacterium
Lineage: Bacteria
Description: partial 16S ribosomal RNA
Rfam family: Bacterial small subunit ribosomal RNA
Source: RNAcentral
AUUGAACGCUGGCGGCAGGCUUAACACAUGCAAGUCGAGCGGGGUGAUGGUGCUUGCACUAUCACUUAGCGGCGGACGGGUGAGUAAUGCUUAGGAAUCUGCCUAUUAGUGGGGGACAACAUCUCGAGAGGGAUGCUAAUACCGCAUACGUCCUACGGGAGAAAGCAGGGGAUCACUUGUGACCUUGCGCUAAUAGAUGAGCCUAAGUCGGAUUAGCUAGUUGGUGGGGUAAAGGCCUACCAAGGCGACGAUCUGUAGCGGGUCUGAGAGGAUGAUCCGCCACACUGGGACUGAGACACGGCCCAGACUCCUACGGGAGGCAGCAGUGGGGAAUAUUGGACAAUGGGGGGAACCCUGAUCCAGCCAUGCCGCGUGUGUGAAGAAGGCCUUAUGGUUGUAAGGCACUUUAAGCGAGGAGGAGGCUCUUUUGGUUAAUACCCAAGAUGAGUGGACGUUACUCGCAGAAUAAGCACCGGCUAACUCUGUGCCAGCCGCCGCGGUAA